GGGUUGUGAGGUUAAGCGACUAAGCGUACACGGUGGAUGCCCUGGCAGUCAGAGGCGAUGAAGGACGUGCUAAUCUGCGAUAAGCGUCGGUAAGGUGAUAUGAACCGUUAUAACCGGCGAUUUCCGAAUGGGGAAACCCAGUGUGAUUCGUCACACUAUCAUUAACUGAAUCCAUAGGUUAAUGAGGCGAACCGGGGGAACUGAAACAUCUAAGUACCCCGAGGAAAAGAAAUCAACCGAGAUUCCCCCAGUAGCGGCGAGCGAACGGGGAGGAGCCCAGAGCCUGAAUCAGUGUGUGUGUUAGUGGAAGCGUCUGGAAAGGCGCGCGAUACAGGGUGACAGCCCCGUACACAAAAAUGCACAUGCUGUGAGCUCGAUGAGUAGGGCGGGACACGUGGUAUCCUGUCUGAAUAUGGGGGGACCAUCCUCCAAGGCUAAAUACUCCUGACUGACCGAUAGUGAACCAGUACCGUGAGGGAAAGGCGAAAAGAACCCCGGCGAGGGGAGUGAAAAAGAACCUGAAACCGUGUACGUACAAGCAGUGGGAGCACGCUUAGGCGUGUGACUGCGUACCUUUUGUAUAAUGGGUCAGCGACUUAUAUUCUGUAGCAAGGUUAACCGAAUAGGGGAGCCGAAGGGAAACCGAGUCUUAACUGGGCGUUAAGUUGCAGGGUAUAGACCCGAAACCCGGUGAUCUAGCCAUGGGCAGGUUGAAGGUUGGGUAACACUAACUGGAGGACCGAACCGACUAAUGUUGAAAAAUUAGCGGAUGACUUGUGGCUGGGGGUGAAAGGCCAAUCAAACCGGGAGAUAGCUGGUUCUCCCCGAAAGCUAUUUAGGUAGCGCCUCGUGAAUUCAUCUCCGGGGGUAGAGCACUGUUUCGGCAAGGGGGUCAUCCCGACUUACCAACCCGAUGCAAACUGCGAAUACCGGAGAAUGUUAUCACGGGAGACACACGGCGGGUGCUAACGUCCGUCGUGAAGAGGGAAACAACCCAGACCGCCAGCUAAGGUCCCAAAGUCAUGGUUAAGUGGGAAACGAUGUGGGAAGGCCCAGACAGCCAGGAUGUUGGCUUAGAAGCAGCCAUCAUUUAAAGAAAGCGUAAUAGCUCACUGGUCGAGUCGGCCUGCGCGGAAGAUGUAACGGGGCUAAACCAUGCACCGAAGCUGCGGCAGCGACGCUGAUGCGUUGUUGGGUAGGGGAGCGUUCUGUAAGCCUGCGAAGGUGUGCUGUGAGGCAUGCUGGAGGUAUCAGAAGUGCGAAUGCUGACAUAAGUAACGAUAAAGCGGGUGAAAAGCCCGCUCGCCGGAAGACCAAGGGUUCCUGUCCAACGUUAAUCGGGGCAGGGUGAGUCGACCCCUAAGGCGAGGCCGAAAGGCGUAGUCGAUGGGAAACAGGUUAAUAUUCCUGUACUUGGUGUUACUGCGAAGGGGGGACGGAGAAGGCUAUGUUGGCCGGGCGACGGUUGUCCCGGUUUAAGCGUGUAGGCUGGUUUUCCAGGCAAAUCCGGAAAAUCAAGGCUGAGGCGUGAUGACGAGGCACUACGGUGCUGAAGCAACAAAUGCCCUGCUUCCAGGAAAAGCCUCUAAGCAUCAGGUAACAUCAAAUCGUACCCCAAACCGACACAGGUGGUCAGGUAGAGAAUACCAAGGCGCUUGAGAGAACUCGGGUGAAGGAACUAGGCAAAAUGGUGCCGUAACUUCGGGAGAAGGCACGCUGAUAUGUAGGUGAAGUCCCUCGCGGAUGGAGCUGAAAUCAGUCGAAGAUACCAGCUGGCUGCAACUGUUUAUUAAAAACACAGCACUGUGCAAACACGAAAGUGGACGUAUACGGUGUGACGCCUGCCCGGUGCCGGAAGGUUAAUUGAUGGGGUUAGCGCAAGCGAAGCUCUUGAUCGAAGCCCCGGUAAACGGCGGCCGUAACUAUAACGGUCCUAAGGUAGCGAAAUUCCUUGUCGGGUAAGUUCCGACCUGCACGAAUGGCGUAAUGAUGGCCAGGCUGUCUCCACCCGAGACUCAGUGAAAUUGAACUCGCUGUGAAGAUGCAGUGUACCCGCGGCAAGACGGAAAGACCCCGUGAACCUUUACUAUAGCUUGACACUGAACAUUGAGCCUUGAUGUGUAGGAUAGGUGGGAGGCUUUGAAGUGUGGACGCCAGUCUGCAUGGAGCCGACCUUGAAAUACCACCCUUUAAUGUUUGAUGUUCUAACGUUGACCCGUAAUCCGGGUUGCGGACAGUGUCUGGUGGGUAGUUUGACUGGGGCGGUCUCCUCCUAAAGAGUAACGGAGGAGCACGAAGGUUGGCUAAUCCUGGUCGGACAUCAGGAGGUUAGUGCAAUGGCAUAAGCCAGCUUGACUGCGAGCGUGACGGCGCGAGCAGGUGCGAAAGCAGGUCAUAGUGAUCCGGUGGUUCUGAAUGGAAGGGCCAUCGCUCAACGGAUAAAAGGUACUCCGGGGAUAACAGGCUGAUACCGCCCAAGAGUUCAUAUCGACGGCGGUGUUUGGCACCUCGAUGUCGGCUCAUCACAUCCUGGGGCUGAAGUAGGUCCCAAGGGUAUGGCUGUUCGCCAUUUAAAGUGGUACGCGAGCUGGGUUUAGAACGUCGUGAGACAGUUCGGUCCCUAUCUGCCGUGGGCGCUGGAGAACUGAGGGGGGCUGCUCCUAGUACGAGAGGACCGGAGUGGACGCAUCACUGGUGUUCGGGUUGUCAUGCCAAUGGCACUGCCCGGUAGCUAAAUGCGGAAGAGAUAAGUGCUGAAAGCAUCUAAGCACGAAACUUGCCCCGAGAUGAGUUCUCCCUGACUCCUUGAGAGUCCUGAAGGAACGUUGAAGACGACGACGUUGAUAGGCCGGGUGUGUAAGCGCAGCGAUGCGUUGAGCUAACCGGUACUAAUGAACCGUGAGGCUUAACCUUACAACGCCGAAGGUGUUU
RNAcentral lists this ribosomal RNA (2931 nucleotides) under Escherichia coli. Its description in RNAcentral is "23S ribosomal RNA". It matches the Rfam family "Bacterial large subunit ribosomal RNA". Lineage: Bacteria; Pseudomonadati; Pseudomonadota; Gammaproteobacteria; Enterobacterales; Enterobacteriaceae. The record is from RNAcentral.